UACGGAGGGGGCUAGCGUUGUUCGGAAUUAUUGGGCGUAAAGGGCGCGUAGGCGGCCGACUAAGUCUGACGUGAAAUCCCCCGGCCCAACCGGGGAACUGCGUUUGAUACUGUUUGGCUCGAGUCCGGGAGAGGGUAGUGGAAUUCCCAGUGUAGCGGUGAAAUGCGUAGAUAUUGGGAGGAACACCGGUGGCGAAGGCGGCUACCUGGACCGGUACUGACGCUGAGGCGCGAAAGCUAGGGUAGCAAACAGG
Molecule: ribosomal RNA, 253 nt
Filed under: uncultured bacterium
Lineage: Bacteria
Description: partial 16S ribosomal RNA
Rfam family: Bacterial small subunit ribosomal RNA
Source: RNAcentral